Eurypyga helias (sunbittern) is the source of this 1129-nucleotide long non-coding RNA. RefSeq lists it as uncharacterized. NCBI's taxonomy places the organism in Eukaryota, Metazoa, Chordata, Aves, Eurypygiformes, Eurypygidae. The record is from RefSeq and is a predicted model, not a curated record. The transcript is spliced from 3 exons.
GCCCCAAGCAGGAGGAGAAAAGCCAGACUCCGUGAAAACGAAGGCCAGUUGGGAUGGCAGUCAGACUAAGUGGCCUGACUCCGUUGGUGUUUAAGUGGAGCUCUGGUAUUCUAGUGCAUUCUUUUACCUCUGCUUCUGUUGCGUUGCAAGCUGUGCUAGAGAAGACGUAGGAAAUUCAUUUUACCCAAUCAGCAAUUGUAACAAUGGACUACAAACCUGCAGAGCAAGCCAGUUUGCUGGAAAACAGGAAUUCCUGCAGCGCAGCACUUGUCACAGACUACCCAAAGAGGGCAAAGAUUCAGGAAGGUGAAUAAAUUGAACAUUGCUUGAAUGAGGUCAGGAACAGUCUCCCGGAGGAGAACCCUGCCCUAAAAUACUACUUUGAAAGUAGAAGCCAGUUUAAUGUGCAGAUUAACCCUUCUCAUUUGAGCAAACGUGUGCAAUCCUGGAUCUUUGCAGAUCACAGCCGGACACUUCAAAAACCUGUGUACUACAUUUGUUUAAAGAAAAAAUAAAUCACAACUUGUCUUGUUACAGCUGUUACUUUUACCAUUUCUUUGAGAAUAUCUGCAACAUAAAUGUGUAUUUGACUUGCAACAGUAUCAUACACUUGGUAUAAUAACUCAGGUUGUCAACAGAAUUAUUCUGUGAGGCUCAAGGUUGCCUCUCCGUUCUUCUCUGAAAAAUGCAUUAACCGUUGCCGUCCGUACCAGAAGUCAGUUAUAGCCCAGUUAUGCAUUGCAAAAUUCUUCAUCAGAUACAAUGGUUGACCUAAAUUAUUAUUUGAUUUUUAUCCACCUAGAAUAACUAAGAUCCUAAGCAUCAGACUAGACCUUUGUAGCCUGGUGUUCACAAAAAUCAUACUCACUGGUUCAUGGUUUAAUCGUGCUACAUCUCAGUAUUUUGUUUCCUUUUCCCUUGCGUGCUAGGGGGUACGAUCGAGGUAAUACUGUGAUCCGGUAACGUGCGUCAUGGUAAGGGUAUGCCUUUAGUUGUUUCAGGAAAAAGCUGCCAUUAUCUGCUCUCCUUUAACGUUCUUGAUAGUUUCAAUAAUAUGCAUAACAUUAAAGUGUUUGUAAAUUGAUAUUAAACUGUUUGUGACUUCACCUAAAUAAAUUUUUUUAUAUAU